GUAGAAGUCAGUCCCGGUCCGGGUCGGCUGUAGAAGUCAGUCCCGGUCCGGGUCGGGUUGUAGAAGUCAAAGUCAGUCCCUGUCCUGGUCAGGUUGGGAGGGGUGUCAGUGCUGUUACUCUGAAGGUAUUGCACUUGUCCCGGCCUGUUUAGGAUUGAGGAGAUGGUGCUGCUACUCUUUGAACCUGCUAAAGCAGUAAUUGUUUAAAAUGAAUGAAUGAAACAUAUAUUUACCAAAAAUGAGACUUGUAUGUUUUCUGUCAUGAUUCUGUUUUUCUAGAUUUGUUUUUAAUGAAUGAAGAGGUAGUUUUCUAAGUUGUAGAUUGAUUGUCGGAGCUUAAAUGUGUCCAUAUGGGGAGUAAUUGUUUCAUGCUGUGGUUUUGUCUCAAAUAAAGUUUCCAUGUAAAUUAGCUUCCCGUUUCAAAGUUUCCAUUGGGCUUUGAUUUGAAAUGUGUAGCCAGCCUGCUUCUCCAGAUGUGAUUGGGUGUAAGGAUGCUUCUCCAGAUGUGAUUGGAUGUAGGGGUGGUGGGAUGUUCAGAUAUAUUAUCUCCACCCUGCUUCUCGAGAUGUGAUUGGAUGUAAGGAUGCUUCUCGAGAUGUGAUUGGAUGUAAGGAUGCUUCUCGAGAUGUGAUUGGGUGUAAGGAUGCUUCUCGAGAUGUGAUUGGGUGUAAGGAUGCUUCUCGAGAUGUGAUUGGGUGUAAGGAUGCUUCUCGAGAUGUGAUUGGGUGUAAGGAUGCUUCUCGAGAUGUGAUUGGAUGUAAGGCUGCUUCUCGAGAUGUGAUUGGAUGUAAGGCUGCUUCUCGAGAUGUGAUUGGAUGUAAGGAUGCUUCUCGAGAUGUGAUUGGAUGUAAGGAUGCUUCUCCAGAUGUGAUUGGGUGUAAGGAUGCUUCUCCAGAUGUGAUUGGAUGUAAGGAUGCUUCUCGAGAUGUGAUUGGAUGUAAGGAUGCUUCUCGAGAUGUGAUUGGAUGUAAGGAUGCUUCUCGAGAUGUGAUUGGAUGUUCAGAUAUAUUUUAUCUCCAAUCUCCAAAUGCCUUUAAUCUUCGAAUGGGAGAUACUGUGACGGACAGUGUCACACAUCAUAACAUGAGUCAUGUGGUCUUUGGGAAAAGGACCUUUCUGACAACUGGAGCACAGGAGGGUUUUGAAAUCAGAUUUCAAGGCCGACAAAAGAGGUGGCAGGUAACCUAGUGGUUAGAGGAGGCAGGUAGCCUAGUGGUUAGAGUGUAGAGGAGGCAGGUAGCCUAGUGGUUAGAGUGUAGAGGAG
Oncorhynchus tshawytscha (Chinook salmon) is the source of this 1264-nucleotide long non-coding RNA. The record is from Ensembl. NCBI's taxonomy places the organism in Eukaryota, Metazoa, Chordata, Actinopteri, Salmoniformes, Salmonidae.